RNAcentral lists this ribosomal RNA (492 nucleotides) under uncultured bacterium. Its description in RNAcentral is "partial 16S ribosomal RNA". It matches the Rfam family "Bacterial small subunit ribosomal RNA", at positions 29 to 507 of the family's 1533-position model. The record is from RNAcentral.
AGUGAACGCUGGCGGUAGGCCUAACACAUGCAAGUCGAACGGCAGCACAGUAAGAGCUUGCUCUUACGGGUGGCGAGUGGCAGACGGGUGAGGAAUACAUCGGAAUCUACUUUUUCGUGGGGGAUCACGUAGGGAAACUUACGCUAAUACCGCAUACGACCUACGGGUGAAAGCAGGGGAUCUUCGGACCUUGCGCGAUUGAAUGAGCCGAUGUCGGAUUAGCUAGUUGGCGGGGUAAAGGCCCACCAAGGCGACGAUCCGUAGCUGGUCUGAGAGGAUGAUCAGCCACACUGGAACUGAGACACGGUCCAGACUCCUACGGGAGGCAGCAGUGGGGAAUAUUGGACAAUGGGCGCAAGCCUGAUCCAGCCAUACCGCGUGGGUGAAGAAGGCCUUCGGGUUGUAAAGCCCUUUUGUUGGGAAAGAAAAGUAGCAGGUUAAUACCCCGCUGUUCUGACGGUACCCAAAGAAUAAGCACCGGCUAACUUCGUG